UGAUGGGAGGCAUUACAUAAUGCAGG
RNAcentral lists this non-coding RNA (26 nucleotides) under Mus musculus (house mouse). The record is from RNAcentral. Lineage: Eukaryota; Metazoa; Chordata; Mammalia; Rodentia; Muridae.